GUGUUGUAUAAAAGGUGACUGUUGCUUAGCAUUUCCUUUGACAUGGACAGAAAAGGCUCUUGGGCCUUACAAAAAAAUUGAUGAUUAAAGCAUUGCCAUUUACUUAUGGUAAUAUUUUGGGGAGUGC
Molecule: non-coding RNA, 127 nt
Filed under: Mus caroli (Ryukyu mouse)
Lineage: Eukaryota; Metazoa; Chordata; Mammalia; Rodentia; Muridae
Source: RNAcentral